AUGAACGCUGGCGGCGUGCUUAACACAUGCAAGUCGAACGGUGAAGCCCAGCUUGCUGGGUGGAUCAGUGGCGAACGGGUGAGUAACACGUGAGCAACCUGCCCCUGACUCUGGGAUAAGCGCUGGAAACGGCGUCUAAUACUGGAUACGAGUAGCGACCGCAUGGUCAGUUACUGGAAAGAUUUAUUGGUUGGGGAUGGGCUCGCGGCCUAUCAGCUUGUUGGUGAGGUAAUGGCUCACCAAGGCGUCGACGGGUAGCCG
This 261-nucleotide ribosomal RNA is filed under the name Microbacterium sp. ISO239_OTU41244. RNAcentral describes it as "partial 16S ribosomal RNA". It matches the Rfam family "Bacterial small subunit ribosomal RNA", at positions 29 to 289 of the family's 1533-position model. Lineage: Bacteria; Bacillati; Actinomycetota; Actinomycetes; Micrococcales; Microbacteriaceae. The record is from RNAcentral.